AUUCCACCGGAGCCAGAGGCAGAUUCCAAAGUUCUGUAUUUUUCAAAAUAAAGAUCACACGUUGUUUAGAGACAAUCUACACAAGAGUUACAAAAAAUAGUCGCCCAGGCAGAAGCAUACACAGGUUUGUUAAUUAUACACAUAUGGUUACAAGUGUGCUUGCAAAAAAGUUCAUUGGAAAUAUACACAAGGCUCUGUAAAUGUACACCGUGUAGUGUUACAAUUCUAUAUUCAAACGAGGAAAAUUGACAGUAUGUUACAUUCACUUACAAGUAGACAAAAUGCAAAAUACAGUUCAUCUUCUGUACAAAAAAGGGGGGAGGUGAUUCACACUUUACAAGGUGAAAAGGGGCUCUGAUUGUAAGGAAAAACGGGAGGGGGCUGUACUUUUGCACUUUUUGUUUCUUACUGUCACAAAAGAAGCAAAACAUUACUUUGUAAGAUUCAAAAAAACACUAUUUGGAACUGAAUCAGGUCUGUAGAACAUUUAGAAAGGAUCUCUACUGUCCAACUAGGUGACAAAUAAAACCAAGCAGUUUAUUUUUCUUCCUUUUUUUUUUUUUUUGUUUUGUUUUUAAACAUUAACUAGGCUGUAUAAAGAGAACAUUUCCUUCAAAAGAAAAAAUUUACUUCUGGUUGAAAUUACAAUUUACAAUAUACAACACUAUAUGCUACGACCAUAAAAGGUGUGAAUAUACACUGAAAUGCACAGGUUUUGCUAAAUUCUUUUUUUUUUCCUGUUUUCUUACCAAAAAACGGGUUUUAUGUCGAUUCAAACUUCUCCACAUUUACAUUACAGAGGUUUACAAAUGUACAAUUGUACAGUCAGAAGUAUGUUCCACUACUAGGGUACAUUAUAGAUACAGAUCAGACAUCAAAACAAGAAAAUACUACAAAUUUUUAUAUAUGUAAAGUCUACACCAAGUAUACACUAUAUAUUUAUAGAAGCAAGACCAAAGCCGAGUUGGAUUUUUUUUUUUUUGUUUUGUUUUUUUUUUUUUUUUUGUGGGUUUUGUUUGUUUGUGGUUUUGUUGUUUAUUCUUUUAGCAACCGUGGCGGGUGGUGUGGGUGGAUCCUGGGGUGGAUCCUGGGGUGGAUUCUGGGGUGGAUCCCAGCGAUGGAUUCCUGGGAUGGAUUCUGGGGUGGAUCCCUGGAAUGGAUCCUGGGGUGGAUUUUGGGAUGGAUUCCUGGGAUGGAUUCCUGGGGUGGAUUCCUGGGGUGGAUUCCUGGGGUGGGUUCCAGGGGUGGAUUCCUGGGAAGGAUCCCUGGGAUGGAUCCCAGCAAUGGAUUCUGGGAUGGAUUUCAGGGGUGGAUUCUGGG
This 1320-nucleotide long non-coding RNA is filed under the name Parus major (Great Tit). Its description in RNAcentral is "lncRNA (ENSPMJG00000007217.1)". Lineage: Eukaryota; Metazoa; Chordata; Aves; Passeriformes; Paridae. The record is from RNAcentral.